GGCUCAUUAGCUCAGUAGGUUAGAGCGUCGUGCUAAUAACGCGAAGGUCGCGGGUUCGAUCCCCUCAUGAGCCA
This 74-nucleotide transfer RNA is filed under the name Chelonus insularis. RNAcentral describes it as "tRNA-Ile". It matches the Rfam family "tRNA". From Rfam's summary of the family: Transfer RNA (tRNA) molecules are approximately 80 nucleotides in length. Their secondary structure includes four short double-helical elements and three loops (D, anti-codon, and T loops). Lineage: Eukaryota; Metazoa; Arthropoda; Insecta; Hymenoptera; Braconidae. The record is from RNAcentral.